This 332-nucleotide unclassified non-coding RNA is filed under the name soil metagenome. Its description in RNAcentral is "partial contains 5.8S ribosomal RNA, internal transcribed spacer 2, and large subunit ribosomal RNA". The stretch from base 1 to 120 matches the Rfam family "5.8S ribosomal RNA", at positions 35 to 154 of the family's 154-position model. The record is from RNAcentral.
GAUGAAGAACGUAGUGAAAUGCGAUACGUAAUGUGAAUUGCAGAAUUCAGUGAAUCAUCGAAUCUUUGAACGCACAUUGCGCCUGCCAGCACUCUGGCAGGCAUGCCUGUUCGAGCGUCAUUUCAACCAUCAAGCCCUAGGCUUGCGUUGGAGCCCUGCGGCUGCCGCAGGCCCCUAAAAGCAGUGGCGGGCUCGCUAUCACACCGAGUGCAGUAGAUUACUCUUCGCUCAGGGCGUGUGGCGGGUUCCAGCCGUGAAACCCCCUACUUCUCAAGGUUGACCUCGGAUCAGGUAGGAAUACCCGCUGAACUUAAGCAUAUCAAAGCGGAGGA